AGUAAUACAUCGGAACGUGUCCUGUAGUGGGGGAUAGCCCGGCGAAAGCCGGAUUAAUACCGCAUACGAUCUGUGGAUGAAAGCGGGGGAUCUUCGGACCUCGCGCUACAGGGGCGGCCGAUGGCAGAUUAGCUAGUUGGUGGGGUAAAGGCCUACCAAGGCGACGAUCUGUAGCUGGUCUGAGAGGACGACCAGCCACACUGGGACUGAGACACGGCCCAG
RNAcentral lists this ribosomal RNA (222 nucleotides) under uncultured bacterium. Its description in RNAcentral is "partial 16S ribosomal RNA". It matches the Rfam family "Bacterial small subunit ribosomal RNA", at positions 109 to 334 of the family's 1533-position model. The record is from RNAcentral.